Molecule: long non-coding RNA, 209 nt
Organism: Gadus macrocephalus (Pacific cod)
Lineage: Eukaryota; Metazoa; Chordata; Actinopteri; Gadiformes; Gadidae
Exons: 2
Source: RefSeq, a predicted model, not a curated record
AGAUCGCACAGGUUCUUGGCUUUUGCACCUACGCGCUGUUUCUGACUGCAUGCCGAUUCUCGCUGCGGCUGGGCAUUACAAGUACUUGAAAUCGGUACACUUUUAUGUCCAAGAGAUGAGUCAGCUUCACAUCAACCACCCAGAUGUGUUCAGAAAAUUCAAAAUGGUUUGUAUUAGGGCCCGACCGAUAUAGAUUUUUGAGUGCCGAU